This 284-nucleotide long non-coding RNA is filed under the name Olea europaea (common olive). RNAcentral describes it as "long non-coding RNA (OEUR_LNC006579)". Lineage: Eukaryota; Viridiplantae; Streptophyta; Magnoliopsida; Lamiales; Oleaceae. The record is from RNAcentral.
UCACCGAAUAUUUGUAGUAGAUUAGACGAUAGUGGUGAAUAGUGGCGACAGUCACGGCGCUGACUGAUUUAUAAUACUGUACUAUAGUCUAAAUUAAUUUGAAAUAUACCGACAAAUUAUUUAAUUAAGAAUGUGUUUCCAGAUUUAACAACAAUUAUAUAUAAGCUAAUUAGACAAUCCCAGAUCUCGUAAUAUGUGUGACCCGAUCACUGCGAUUCUUUCUCCACCACAAUCUUCACCGCCACCAGAAGAUGUGGCAUCAGACUCACAUUUUUUCAUCCAUC